CCCAAGUGAAAUAACCCACUCUGAGGCUCUCUAUGGCUGCUGACCUCUCUCGUGGUGGUGUGAACAUCUCACAGCUAUUCUCAGGCAGUUACGAGCAGUUUUUUCAAACCGUUGUUUGUGGAUUUCGGAGGAAUCUGAAAUGUGCCGUGACAGGUGUUUUGCAAGUAAUCAAUGAGAGAUAGUGAACUGCGACAGCUUGUCUUGUUAUUUCAAUGUUUCCACUACAGGCAGCUACCAAUGAAGCUCAUCUCCAGUCCAGAGAAAACAAAGCCACGCCACAUUCCCAGAGUUAAAUUUGCUGUUACGUCGGAAGUCUGAGAAUUGGAGUUUGGGCUCUGUCUGGAGGAGCUGGGUGGCUGGUAAUCUACACUGGUGGGGGCCUCAGCCCAACCUGGAAAUUGCUGGU
RNAcentral lists this long non-coding RNA (406 nucleotides) under Salmo salar (Atlantic salmon). RNAcentral describes it as "lncRNA (ENSSSAG00000118704.1)". The record is from RNAcentral. Lineage: Eukaryota; Metazoa; Chordata; Actinopteri; Salmoniformes; Salmonidae.